AUUGAACGCUGGCGGCAGGCCUAACACAUGCCAGUCGAGCGGAUGACGGGAGCUUGCUCCUUGAUUCAGCGGCGGACGGGUGAGUAAUGCCUAGGAAUCUGCCUGGUAGUGGGGGACAACGUUUCGAAAGGAACGCUAAUACCGCAUACGUCCUACGGGAGAAAGCAGGGGACCUUCGGGCCUUGCGCUAUCAGAUGAGCCUAGGUCGGAUUAGCUUGUUGGUGAGGUAAUGGCUCACCAAGGCGACGAUCCGUAACUAGUCUGAGAGGAUGAUCAGUCACACUGGAACUGAGACACGGUCCAGACUCCUACGGGAGGCAGCAGUGGGGAAUAUUGGACAAUGGGCGAAAGCCUGAUCCAGCCAUGCCGCGUGUGUGAAGAAGGUCUUCGGAUUGUAAAGCACUUUAAGUUGGGAGGAAGGGUUGUAGAUUAAUACUCUGCAAUUUUGACGUUACCGACAGAAUAAGCACCGGCUAACUCUGUG
RNAcentral lists this ribosomal RNA (484 nucleotides) under uncultured bacterium. Its description in RNAcentral is "partial 16S ribosomal RNA". It matches the Rfam family "Bacterial small subunit ribosomal RNA", at positions 30 to 507 of the family's 1533-position model. The record is from RNAcentral.